This 3182-nucleotide long non-coding RNA is filed under the name Sorghum bicolor (sorghum). RNAcentral's name for it is "long non-coding RNA (SBIC_LNC010491)". The record is from RNAcentral. Lineage: Eukaryota; Viridiplantae; Streptophyta; Magnoliopsida; Poales; Poaceae.
CAAAACUUUCCACAGGCCACGUCUUUCACUUGUUCAAGCUCAAAUUUCCUGUGGUUACUUCUUGAGUGCUCCUAAGUAAAAGAAAAAUAUCAAAAAAAAAAUAAAAAGAAUUGCAGGUUUGGAACCGUGUUGUUCGCAAGCUGGAUUGAUUUGUCUCUUUUCCACCAAAUCGAUAGUUGCCAGAAACUUUCGGAAGAUCGGGCCACACUUAUUCUCCUCAAGUGGUAAUCAAAGCUUCAGACAUAACGUCAGGUUCACAUCUACCCUUAGUUUCGAGUGUCCUUGUGUUCGUCCCAUAAGUCUGGUGCCAUAUUAUUUUCAUGUCCUACAACCCAUCCGCGCCAUAGCCUUUGCAUAUUUCUGUUUCCGAGUCCAUAGUGUUGAGUUUGUGUCCUGGUCGAGGUCUUGUUACUGGUUAGGUCUUGUUAGAGUCCAAUUUGUGUGUUUCUUCCCACCGUUUCCAUCAAUUUAUAGCCACCGCCGCAAAUUUUCCCACUUCUGGACUGUUUUGUCCUCUAAUUCGGAGUCCGUUCUUAAAACAGCCAUAACUUUCGCAUACGAACUCCGAUUUUGGCGUUCUAUAUAUCAAAAUCGAUCAGAAAAUUUUUCUGGGUCUGUCUAUGCCCGCUAGCGGGUUCGACAAAUUUAGAAUCCCCAAAUUCGCCUCUGAAGUUUGAGUUUUCACCUCCUAAAGUUUUCUUUAUAUUUUUCGCAAUCUUCAAAACUUUCCACAGGCCACGUCUUUCACUUGUUCAAGCUCAAAUUUCCUGUGGUUACUUCUUGUGUGCUCCUAAGUAAAAGAAAAAUAUCAAAGAAAAAUAAAAAGAACUGCAGGUUUCGAACCGUGUUGUUCGCAAGCUGGAUUGAUUUGUGUCUCUUUUCCACCAAAUCGAUAGUUGCCAGAAACUUUCGGAAGAUCGGGCCACACUUAUUCUGCUCAAGUGGUAAUCAAAGCUUUAGACAUAACGUUAGGUUCACAUCUACCCUUAGUUUCGAGUGUCCUUGUGUUCAUCCCAUAAGUCUGGUGCCAUAUUGUUUUCAUGUCCUACAACCCAUCCGCGCCAUAGCCUUUGCAUAUUUCAGUUUCCGAGUUCAUAGUGUUGAGUUUGUGUCCUGGUCGAGAUCUUGUUACUGGUUAGGUCUUGUUAGAGUCCAAUUUGUGUGUUUCUUCCCACCGUUUCCAUCAAUUUAUAGCCACCGCCACAAAUUUUCCCACUUCUGGACUGUUUUGUCCUCUAAUUCGGAGUCCGUUCGUAAAACAGCCAUAACUUUCGCAUACGAACUCCGAUUUUGACGUUGCAUAUAUCAAAAUCGAUCAAAAAUUUUUUUUGGGUCUGUCUAUGCCCGCUUUGCGGGUUCGACAAAUUUAGAAUCCCCAAAUUCGCCUCUGAAGUUGGAGUUUUCACCUCCUAAAGUUUUCUUUAUAUUUUUCGCAAUCUUCAAAACUUUCCACAGGCCACGUCUUUCACUUGUUCAAGCUCAAAUUUCCUGUGGUUACUUCUUGUGUGCUCCUAAGUAAAAGAAAAAUAUCAAAGAAAAAUAAAAAGAACUGCAGGUUUCGAACCGUGUUGUUCGCAAGGUGGAUUGAUUUGUGUCUCUUUUCCACCAAAUCGAUAGUUGCCAGAAACUUUCGGAAGAUCGGGCCACACUUUUUCUCCUCAAGUGGUAAUCAAAGCUUCAGACAUAACGUUAGGUUCACAUCUACCCUUAGUUUCGAGUGUCCUUGUGUUCGUCCCAUAAGUCUGGUGCCAUAUUGUUUUCAUGUCCUACAACCCAUCCGCGCCAUAGCCUUUGCAUAUUUCAGUUUCAGAGUCCGUAGUGUUGAGUUUGUGUCCUGGUCGAGGUCUUGUUACUGGUUAGGUCUUGUUAGAGUCCAAUUUGUGUGUUUCUUCCCACCGUUUCCAUCAAUUUAUAGCCACCGCCGCAAAUUUUCCCACUUCUGGACUGUUUUGUCCUCUAAUUCGGAGUCCGUUCGUAAAACAGCCAUAACUUUCGCAUACGAACUCCGAUUUUGACGUUCCAUAUAUCAAAAUCGAUCAGAAAUUUUUUUUUGGGUCUGUCUAUGCCCGCCACUGGCGGGUUCGACAAAUUAGGAUCCCCAAAUUCGCCUCUGAGGUUUGAGUUUUCACCUCCUAAAGUUUUCUUUAUAUUUUUCGCAAUCUUCAAAACUUUCCACAGGCCACGUCUUUCACUUGUUCAAGCUCAAAUUUCCUGUGGUUACUUCUUGAGUGCUCCCAAGUUAAAGAAAAAUAUCACAAAAAAUAAAAAGAAUUGCAGGUUUCGAACCGUGUUGUUCGCAAGCUUGAUUGAUUUUUGUCUUUUUUCCACCAAAUCAAUAGUUGCCAGAAACUUUCGGAAGAUCGGGCCACACUUAUUCUCCUCAAGUGGUAAUCAAAGCUUCAGACAUAACGUUAGGUUCACAUCUACCCUUAGUUUCGAGUGUCCUUGUGUUCGUCCCAUAAGUCUGGUGCCAUAUUGUUUUCAUGUCCUACAACCCAUCCGCGCCAUAGCCUUUGCAUAUUUCAGUUUCCGAGUUCAUAGUGUUGAGUUUGUGUCCUGGUCGAGAUCUUGUUACUGGUUAGGUCUUGUUAGAGUCCAAUUUGUGUGUUUCUUCCCACCGUUUCCAUCAAUUUAUAGCCACCGCCGCAAAUUUUCCCACUUCUGGACUGUUUUGUCCUCUAAUUCGGAGUCCGUUCGUAAAACAGCCAUAACUUUCGCAUACGAACUCCGAUUUUGACGUUGCAUAUAUCAAAAUCGAUCAGAAAUUUUUUUUGGGUCUGUCUAUGCCCGCUUUGCGGGUUCGACAAAUUUAGAAUCCCCAAAUUCGCCUCUGAAGUUGGAGUUUUCACCUCCUACAGUUUUCUUUAUAUUUUUCGCAAUCUUCAAAACUUUGCACAGGCCACGUCUUUCACUUGUUCAAGCUCAAAUUUCCUGUGGUUACUUCUUGUGUGCUCCUAAGUAAAAGAAAAAUAUCAAAGAAAAAUAAAAAGAACUGCAGGUUUCGAACUGUGUUGUUCGCAAGCUGGAUUGAUUUGUGUCUCUUUUCCACCAAAUCGAUAGUUGCCAGAAACUUUCGGAAGAUCGGGCCACACUUAUUCUCCUCAAGUGGUAAUCAAAGCUUCAGACAUAACGUUAGGUUAACAUCUACCCUUAGUUUCGAGUGUCCUUGUGUUCGUUCCAUA